RNAcentral lists this ribosomal RNA (450 nucleotides) under uncultured bacterium. RNAcentral describes it as "partial 16S ribosomal RNA". It matches the Rfam family "Bacterial small subunit ribosomal RNA", at positions 354 to 796 of the family's 1533-position model. The record is from RNAcentral.
GUGGGGAAUUUUGGACAAUGGGCGCAAGCCUGAUCCAGCAAUGCCGCGUGCAGGAAGAAGGCCUUCGGGUUGUAAACUGCUUUUGUACGGAACGAAACGGUCCGGGUUAAUACCCUGGGCUAAUGACGGUACCGUAAGAAUAAGCACCGGCUAACUAAGUGCCAGCAGCCGCGGUAAUACGUAGGGUGCAAGCGUUAAUCGGAAUUACUGGGCGUAAAGCGUGCGCAGGCGGUUUUGUAAGACAGGCGUGAAAUCCCCGGGCUCAACCUUGGAAUUGCGCUUGUGACUGCAAGGCUGGAGUGCGGCAGAGGGGGAUGGAAUUCCGCGUGUAGCAGUGACAUGCGUAGAUAUGCGGAGGAACACCGAUGGCGAAGGCAAUCCCCUGGGCCUGCACUGACGCUCAUGCACGAAAGCGUGGGGAGCAAACAGGAUUAGAUACCCGAGUAGUCC